Molecule: ribosomal RNA, 104 nt
Filed under: Capnocytophaga genosp. AHN8471
Lineage: Bacteria; Pseudomonadati; Bacteroidota; Flavobacteriia; Flavobacteriales; Flavobacteriaceae
Description: partial 16S ribosomal RNA
Rfam family: Bacterial small subunit ribosomal RNA
Source: RNAcentral
ACGAUGAAGAGUUUGAUCCUGGCUCAGGAUGAACGCUAGCGGCAGGCCUAACACAUGCAAGUCGAGGGAGAAGCCUUCGGGCUGAAACCGGCGCACGGGUGCGU